RNAcentral lists this ribosomal RNA (351 nucleotides) under Triticum aestivum (bread wheat). RNAcentral describes it as "partial small subunit ribosomal RNA". The record is from RNAcentral. Lineage: Eukaryota; Viridiplantae; Streptophyta; Magnoliopsida; Poales; Poaceae.
AUGUCUCACUUCCUUCGGGGGUUAGAUUUCCCGAUGGAUCCCUUCAUGAGGGGGCUGCUGUUUUAUUACGGGCUGGAAUUUCAUGACUUAGCUCCAGAGUCCAUCCUCCACAUUUCCUCAUUCAUCGUUGUGUGUGAAGCGUUCCUCUGUGUUACUCCUCACUUCGGAUUAUGGCUCAAGACUUUUGGAGUGGAGCCGAAGAUAAUCGAGGGACGGCACGCAGAGUGCGGAGGCGCUGUCAUAAGUAAGAAUGCUGAUGCUCCAUGGCCCGAGGGCUCCUUUAAAGAGGAGCUCGGCUUGUGGCAACGAGAAUGGUUCUAUAUCACCGCUCCCAGGAGCGCCAAGUGGGCG